GUCUCUAGGACCUUGAGGAGUUUUUAUUCCUCUAUACGCUCUCAAACUAAGAGCACCUGCUUUUCCACCAUGUGCUGGAUGAAUCUGUACCUGGAAAUAACCGAAACUUGACAAAUUAUGACCAGUGAGUUUUGGAGGACAGUCUCCUUUAUGCAGGUAUGAGGACAAAAUAAAAAUGAUAAAACAAGGAUAUCCAGAACAGACUUAGUAUGUAUACAAACCAAACCAAGGAAGAACAUUCGCUUAGACGGAGAAGUGGAAGUAUCGACGGAAUGCGACCAUCUUUCACUGUAGAUGAAAACCAGGAAGCCGAUAUUGGUACCAUCAGGAAGAAGAAUCAGGAUGAGCUUCUGGCACCUGCAAAAUAUUACUUCAAACCUGUAGGUCUGCUAUUGUUGGCUAUGAUUGGUGCCCUUAUUGGAUCGAUGGUUGGAUCGAGUUAUGGAGUGGUGGGCUCUGGAUCUGGGAUCGUCAUUGGGAUCAUAGUAACAAUUCCACUGGGUCUUUGCUUGAUUACAGCUGCAAGCCUCACACGCCAGAGUUCUGAACAGACUAAUUAGACCCUAAAACUGUGAGCUACACAAUAGCUUGCAAAUAUUUAUACCAUUGGGACAAAAUGAAAAAAAUAUACCACAAAAAAUAUUACAUCAGUGUUGCAUCACUGAGAAGUGACCCAACAUGAAGGAUGGUACUUGUUGUUGCUGUAGCUGAGCUGGUCAAACUAGUAGAUCAUCUUUUCUAGCUUAUGAGUUUUUUUUAAUUAAUACUACAUUGAUGCAAGACCAUUUCAAUAAAAUAGCAGCAAGGUGAUUUAAAAAUCUCAAAAUAAGUUUGUUGAGUAAUACCAAAGCUAGAAAAUAACAUAGCAGUUUUGAUUCUGAUGAUGGUCUACCAGUUUCACCAGCGUGGUCUGUGAUGGUUGGUGUAAUUGAUUAGACUGAACUGGGUUUUUUUCAGUGCAACUGAUAAACAAAUAAUUUAAACCAAAAACAACAACAACAACAACAAAGCAUAAAAGAUUUACAGCUUCAUAAAUUAAGUUUAAAUGUUUCCUGUUUACAUGUUUGAUGAAAUAACAAAUUCUUUAUUAGGCACUGAUGAGAAGCUGCACUGACUGAAGCUAAUACUUUUGAUGUGUUUAAUAUUCAUCUGCAUAAAGGUUUCUUGUUACCUGUAGGUACAUAUUAUGUAACAACAUUUAUUUGUGUAUUAAUGUGAACAAUAGUAACUAGAUUUGUAAAGUUCAUCACGGCAAACUUUGAGGUUGGCUGGAUGAUGCAAAUAUUCGCAAAGGCUGUUUUUUUUUUUGGAGGUGAGCGGACAUAAGGGUCUGUGUUACUUUUUUUAGGCAAGAUGUAAAUAAUAAAAUAAUGUAAGUAAUAUUAUUUCAAUUAUCUGACCUGAAAGAGUUAUUUUUUUUAUUAAAAAAUGCACAAGUAAUAAAUGUUUUGAGUUUUACUAAAUUUAGUUUCUAGUAUGAGUUUAAGUGCCACAUUUCCUCAUUAGUUAAUGCAGGAUGUUGAUAGUUUUGUGUUUACUAUUAUCUAUAUAAUAAUAUAAUAAUAUUCUUUGUGUAUUAAUGUGAACAACAGUGUCUGUUUGUGUGUUUUACUAAGAGUUAAAGCGCAAUGCAUAUAAGUAGCAAUCCAUAAAAAAUGGUAGCAAAGGACUCAAUU
Molecule: long non-coding RNA, 1676 nt
Organism: Tachysurus fulvidraco (yellow catfish)
Lineage: Eukaryota; Metazoa; Chordata; Actinopteri; Siluriformes; Bagridae
Exons: 4
Source: RefSeq, a predicted model, not a curated record